GCCGGCGUGGCGGAAUGGCAGACGCGGCAGACUCAAAAUCUGUUAAUGGCAACAUUGUGCGGGUUCAAGUCCCGCCGCCGGCA
Molecule: transfer RNA, 83 nt
Filed under: Lachnospiraceae bacterium
Lineage: Bacteria; Bacillati; Bacillota; Clostridia; Lachnospirales; Lachnospiraceae
Also listed under: 1 other name
Description: tRNA-Leu
Rfam family: tRNA
About the family: Transfer RNA (tRNA) molecules are approximately 80 nucleotides in length. Their secondary structure includes four short double-helical elements and three loops (D, anti-codon, and T loops). Further hydrogen bonds mediate the characteristic L-shaped molecular structure. tRNAs have two regions of fundamental functional importance: the anti-codon, which is responsible for specific mRNA codon recognition, and the 3' end, to which the tRNAs corresponding amino acid is attached (by aminoacyl-tRNA synthetases). tRNAs cope with the degeneracy of the genetic code in two manners: having more than one tRNA (with a specific anti-codon) for a particular amino acid; and 'wobble' base-pairing, i.e. permitting non-standard base-pairing at the 3rd anti-codon position.
Source: RNAcentral